UCUUAGUUUGAGAUUAGUACUACUCCUUUUGAGAGCUUAGAUAAAAGAGAGUUGAUUUCCAUAAAUGAUUGCAGAUAUGCUAGUAAUUUGAAUAGUAUAUGAUGUGGGGGAAAAUUUGCAUUUUGAAUAGAGUAUAUACGUAAAUAUCCCAUCAACUUUAUUAUACAUAUAAUGAGUAUUUUUCAUACGAAUGCGAUCGAAUUUCUCCUAAUAUUAUUAUUGUUAACGUCAAGAUCUUCUGCCACGUCCCAAUCGCGUAAGACGCCUUGAUCCUACACAGUAAACACGAUAAACACCACAAACUUGACGGCUGUUCCGUCGGGGGAUAGCUCAGGCGUGAGAGUCAGUAUACGUGUUCACAAGGUUAACAAUGGAGGAAUGUAAUGUCUAGUGUCUAGAGAGAGAUCAUAAUUUCCUGUUGUGUGUAUGUGAGAAUAUGAAAAUGAAAGUGUAUGAGAAUGUACCUCUUUGUGAAGACUUCCUUGCUAGGUUAUACUCUCUUUGCCUG
Molecule: long non-coding RNA, 508 nt
Filed under: Panax ginseng (ginseng)
Lineage: Eukaryota; Viridiplantae; Streptophyta; Magnoliopsida; Apiales; Araliaceae
Description: long non-coding RNA (PGIN_LNC014162)
Source: RNAcentral